Molecule: ribosomal RNA, 462 nt
Filed under: uncultured bacterium
Lineage: Bacteria
Description: bacterial SSU rRNA
Rfam family: Bacterial small subunit ribosomal RNA
Source: RNAcentral
CGGCAGAAUCCUAGUGGCGAACGGGUGAGUAACGCGUAGGCAACCUGCCCUCCGGCCGGGGACAACAACUCCAAAGGGGUGCUAAUACCGGAUACGAAGUCUGUGCCGCAUGGUACGGAUUUGAAAGAUGGCCUCUGGUUUACAAGCUAUCGCCGGGGGAUGGGCCUGCGUCCGAUUAGCUGGUUGGUGGGGUAACGGCCUACCAAGGCGACGAUCGGUAGCCGGUCUGAGAGGAUGAACGGCCACAUUGGGACUGAGACACGGCCCAGACUCCUACGGGAGGCAGCAGUGGGGAAUCUUCCGCAAUGGGCGCAAGCCUGACGGAGCAACGCCGCGUUGAGUGAGGAAGUUCUUCGGAACGUAAAGCUCUGUUGUUCCUGACGAACCUCCCUUCUAUCAACAACGGAGGGGACUGACGGUAGGGAACGAGGAAGCCACGGCUAACUACGUGCCAGCCGCAGC